GAUGAAGAACGCAGCGAAAUGCGAUAAGUAGUGUGAAUUGCAGAAUUCAGUGAAUCAUCGAAUCUUUGAACGCACAUUGCGCCCCUUGGUAUUCCGAGGGGCAUGCCUGUUCGAGCGUCAUUAUAACCCCUCAAGCUCGGCUUGGUGUUGGGGCCUGCCGCACGGGCAGCCCUUAAAAUCAGUGGCGGUGCCAUCUGGCUCUAAGCGUAGUAAUUCUUCUCGCUAUAGAGUCCCGGUGGAUGCUUGCCAUUAACCCCCAAUUUCAAUGGUUGACCUCGGAUCAGGUAGGGAUACCCGCUGAACUUAAGCAUAUCAAUAAGCGGAGGA
RNAcentral lists this unclassified non-coding RNA (327 nucleotides) under soil metagenome. RNAcentral's name for it is "partial contains 5.8S ribosomal RNA, internal transcribed spacer 2, and large subunit ribosomal RNA". The stretch from base 1 to 120 matches the Rfam family "5.8S ribosomal RNA", at positions 35 to 154 of the family's 154-position model. The record is from RNAcentral.